CCAUAGCAUUCAAUAUCAGAACGGUAUCUAUCUACGCCGUCCUCCGUCCUGCCGGCGAAUCCGGUCAAGUUGCUCUGUGUUAAGUCCCUCCCCCAGGCAGAUACAAUGAAACUGCCAAUAAACCUUGAGGAACGUCUUAAGGAAAAAAUAUACGGUCUACAUGUAAUUGAAACCCAGGAUAGUAGUCUCCGUCUCCCGCACCGUGUCGGCUCUCGUAACUUCGCAGCACGCUGCCGACAGCUACUUCUCCAAUCUGGCCGUGGCGCAUGCUAUCCUAUCCCUGACAGUACGUCGCUGGUGAGCCCUAACUUGGACACCGAUUGCAAGGACAGGGCGGACAAAGGAUGAACUUCUGUAGGCUUCAGUCAGCGCGAAAUGUGGAGGCGGAAUACCCCAUCAUUUGGGCUUGUUGCCGUUGGGCUACAUCGCCGAGGUAUACUGGCCUAGGCAACUCUGUCUAUCCGUCUUCAUGGCACCAACGCCUUCACAUUUCAACCGGUAUUCCAGGUCCAUCAGGGCCUCUAACGAUAUCUCAAGUUCCCCGGUUGUUUUGGACUAAAGCUAUUGCCGAUCCGUAGGCAUGUGAACGCCUUCGUGCCACCGGCUGACGUUCAACGGAGGGCUGCAGAGCGGUCACGAUGCGGCGGAGGGUCAGGCCCAGGAUACGGAUGGGAAAGAGUAGGAUAGAAGUGUAGACCCCCAGGAUAAGAAUGGGGCCCAGGAUGGCGGCAUGUUUGGAGGGGUCGACGCCAACCCGCCAAGGAUGAGGAGGAUGGCGGAGGGGGAUGAUGCAGCCACCAGGAUGCGCUCGAAAGUAUGAAAAGAGAGUGUGGGGGGCGGGCCGUAGAAUGUAUCCAACCGACAGGAUGCGUGGCCAAUCCCCCCAGGAUGCGAGGAUGGGGCACCGCUCUGCACUUCGUCUGGGAAUGUCACGCCCUUGUUAGGCCCCGUUGAGGGGCCCCAGGCCGAGGUCAUUGACCUUUAAGGAUGAAGGCGGAUACCCCAACACAUAUUCAGUACCGCCAUUGUUGAGAUCUCAUUUGAGAGUUCGGGAUUGCCAUGCAGCAGGAUUUGACCAGUGUGACACAAUUAGGCCACGCUUUAGGCCUUUUCUUCUUCCGUCAUGUUUUCCGUAUGCUUCGGGAGCAAGUAGUUGCGAUUGCUGUGCGUUGACAACUUAGAGGGCCUAUGGUAUUGCAUCGAGACAACACGCAGCAGAGGGGUCAGGACCUUCUAAUAACGUAACGCAUUAUACGGUUAUCCAUGAGUUAACGUAGAACAUAGUCCACAAUGACUAGGCGCACUCAAGGGACGUA
Molecule: long non-coding RNA, 1316 nt
Filed under: Volvox carteri
Lineage: Eukaryota; Viridiplantae; Chlorophyta; Chlorophyceae; Chlamydomonadales; Volvocaceae
Description: long non-coding RNA (VCAR_LNC000600)
Source: RNAcentral